This 362-nucleotide long non-coding RNA is filed under the name Gossypium raimondii (Peruvian cotton). Its description in RNAcentral is "long non-coding RNA (GRAI_LNC007487)". Lineage: Eukaryota; Viridiplantae; Streptophyta; Magnoliopsida; Malvales; Malvaceae. The record is from RNAcentral.
GGUGGAUAAGUGGAGUGUUGGUGUGAAGGAGGUCCUGUGUUCGAAUCUUGGCAUGGGCAUUAUAUUUGCUCGUGCGUCCAGGAAAGUUUGAGAUGGACUAAAAAUCUGAGUAGUGGAUUUAGUGGGGAGUUUGAUAGAGAGAAAUAAGAGAUUGGGGUGGUUAUCAAAUAUUCUGUUCAUCCUCUUUUUUCCUUUUUUUUUUUACUUUCCCCACAAUCCCUCCACCCUCUUGCCAUUUUUCUCUUCAUUGCUGCCGAAUUUCUACUCUCUUUCACCCAUCUUCUUCUUGAUUUUUCUUUUCCCACUCUGCCUCUUGCCGCUCCACGUUUGUCUACGAUCGUUCAGUAAGUUUUAGAUAAGUG